GUACACUUUGUCCUAAAGCAGCUUUGCAAACAAGAGUGCCCUACAAACUUCAUAGCAAGCAAGGCAAAGGCAACAAUGGUAAGGAGAACAUGAGUUUGUCAAGUAAAACCAUUAUGGAAAUAAAGCCGUUUUCUAUAAACUAAAGAAUACAUUCAUGCUGACCGACCAGGGGAGAGCAGAGGGAAAGUCAUGGACUCCCACCAGGGAUGAGUUUGUCAGGCACUUCAGGAUGUUGCCAGGGUGGAAGAUUGUGCUACACAAACUGUCAAUGGAGCGUGAAAUCCGGCCAGCCAUGCAUUAUGGAUGGGGCAAAGUCCACCUUAUUUUUAGAUCACAGCUCUCAUGGAGCUGCAAUACAGUGCAAUAUGUGCUUUACUGUAUUAGUUAGGCCAAAUAAAGCCUGAUAUAACUGACAGCCCUGUUUCCCAAAAUGUAAAUAUUUAAGCAGGCACACUGCUAAAGCUUUUAUGAUCAAAUGAAUAGUUGAGGAUGCCCAUUUCAUUAAACAGAAUCCUUCUCUGCUGGGAAAAUGUCAAUCAAACAAUCACUUAGAUCAGUGAAAAUCAGCUGAUGGAUCUUGACCCAAAAAUAGGCUGUGGGAAAAGUUCUGAUAGGGUUGUGUAUAGAAGGGAAAGACUUAAUAAAUAAUAAAAUGCAACUAACCAUAUAAUCAUAUACAUAUUUCAAAAAGUGAAACUUUCAUAAUUUCUAGAUUCAUUACAUGUACAGUAAAACAUUUCAAAAGUUUUUUUUUUUUUUUUUUUUAAUUUUGAUAAUUUGAGAUCACAGCUCAUGAAAGUCAAAAAUCCAGUAUCUCAAAAUAGUACAAUAUUUCCUAAGAUCAAUUAAAAAAAAUCAGAAAAGCUCAAGUUCUUUAAAGUAUGUUCAUUUAUGCACUCAAUACUUAGUCGGGGCUCCUUAAGCACAGAUUAGUGCAUCAGUGAGGUGUGGCAUGGAAGUGAUCAGCCUGUGGCACUGCUCAGGCACUAUUGAAGCACAGGUUUCUUUAAUAGCGGCCUUCAGCUCAUCUAUAUGGUUGGAUUGACUUUGUCAUCUUUCUCUUGAAAAUAUCCCAUAGAUUCCAUAUAGGGUCCAGGUAAGGCAUGUUGGCUGGCCAUUCAAGCACACUAAUAUCAUGAUCAGCUAACCACUUGGAAGUGGUUUUGGCACUGUGGGCAGGUGCUAAAGUCCUGCUGGAAAAGGAAAUAAGCAUCUCCAUAAAACUUGUCAGCAGAUUGAAGCAUAAAGUGCUCCAAAAUCUCCUGGUAGACGGCUGCAUUGACUUUGGACUUGAUAAAACACAAGGACCAACACCAGCAGACGUCACGGCUACCCAAAUCUUCACUGACUUCAGAAACUUCACACUGGACUUCAAGCAGCUUGGAUUCUGUGCCUCUCCAGUCUUCCUUCGGACUCCAGACCUUGAUUUCCAAAUGAAAAAUUUACUUUUAUCUGAAAAGAGGACUUUGAACCACUGCGCAACAGUCCAGUUCUUUUUUUCCUUAGCCCAGGUAAGAUGCUUCUGACAUUGUUUCUGUUUCAGAAGUGGCUUGGUAACCCUUUUCCUGAAGACGUCUGAGCUUGAUGACUCUUGAUGCCAUGACUCCAUCUUCAGUCCACUCCUUGUGAAGUUCUCCCAAGUGUUUGAAACAGCUGUGUUUGACAGUAUUUUCAAGCUUGCAGUCAUCCCUGUUGCUUGUGCACCUUUUCCUACCCAUUUUUUCAGUCAACUUUGCAUUUAAUAUGCUUUGAUACCGCACUUGUGUGAUGUGAUCAUGCCCACGCAUAUCACACGUGCUCUGUAGACAAAGAAAGUUUCAAGUUCAUCUCGGCUACUUUUCGUUUUUGGAAGAAUACGCACUGUGAGGAAUAAGCCUUGAAUUGUGAUGCUGACGCGGCUUAAUCCAGUGGAUGAUCUCAUUUUGACAAGUCAUUUUUUAUUUAUUUAUUUAUUUACUUUUUUUUUAAACUUAUAUUAGUGUUACUGUGACAAACUUGUACACAUUCACUUGUUGUACUUUUCCCAAACUACUGUAUAAUACUAUAAUAUGUUGAGUGCAACAUUUUGAAAUAUGAUAGGCAACCAUUCAUUGCAUCUAAAUGCUGUAGGAUUCGUCUGCAUUUUACCUGGCAUUCUCUUGUGAUUUAUUAAAAGGCAUACUGACGCGCAAAACAUAAUUUUUUUUCUCACAGUUUUUAACACUGCAUUUGUAACUUAAGUAACGUAAUAUUAUUGAUUAGUAACUGUAAUCAAAUUACAUAAAUUUAUAAUAAUGCAAUACCAGGAAAAGUAAUUAGAUAACAGUAACACAUUAUACCCAACUCUGAUUACAACACACAUUAUGAAUAAUUAUAAUGCAUUAUACCCUUUAAAAACCAUUUAUAAUGCAUUAUACUUAAAAGCUUUAAGUAAAGUGUUACUACUGAUUCUUUAUAAGUGAUUCACUGAACAGAUUCAUUCAAACAAAGUGAUCCAUACAGGGACACAAUAACACUAGUAUGUGUUGCUUGCAGACAUCCAAAGGUAAUUCUGCUGUGGCUUUUUUUUUUUUUUUUUGGUUGUGUAGCAGCAAUAGUAAAAACAUCUGGCAACAUCAUGUCUAAAUUUUAAUGUAUUGUACUCAAUACUAUUGUAACUUACUGUUUAUUAUUCGGCCGUCAGUUGAGGUUAUUUGUGCUCUGCAUUUGCUGGGAGGUUAUUAGUUCAAACACAUACUUGCCUUUUAUACAUUACAUAGACUGAAUGCUGACAACCAAAGUCCAAAAAUAAAGCGAAAUGCAAUAAAUGACAUUGCCUGUAAAAUUGGAAAAGAAAGUAAAUUGUUGCUGUUUCACUUUUGCCCAUUUUGCCUUGAGCAGGCUGCCCAUCAGUCCAACUCUACAUGCCUUUCUGGAAGAUUUGUUGGGUUUCACAAAAUAUACAACCUUUCUCUUCAGUGUAUUUCUGUGAUGUUAUCCAUCAUGUGGAUAGGAAGAAGGACAUUGCCAUCAGCAUGUUAGAACAUUGAAACAGGUUCUGAAGGGCACAUGUAAUAUUCACAUGAAAUAGUAAAAAUGCUUUACUGAGGCAUUGAGAAAUGUGCUACUGAAUGUUAUUGUUGUACAUCAUAUACUGUAGCCAUAUAAAAAUAAUUACUCUCAAAGCACUCUACAUGUCACAUCCAGUAAGCAAAACUGCUGGAGUGAAAAUGUCAGAUCCAGUAAAGAAAACUGAGUGAGAAAUACUUGAAAUGAAAAAUGGAAAUAAUGAGUGAUAGGAAAUUUGAAAGGAAAAUGAAGAACACCAUAAACCAGAGCUUCCUGUGGCUGUUUUGUCUUCUUUCUUCUUUAAAUCUCAGUAGAGAGCUGUUCAGUCAUGACGCUGAUAUGUAGACCAAUCGAGAAGGAUAAUUUGACACGGGUUUAGUCUGAAAAUGCAAAUGGGGUUUUAGAAAAGCAGCUUUAAUUGCUAACAAGUUGGUAUAGAGAUUGCAACAGUUUCUUCAAGAAAUUCACAUCCUUGUGCAAGUGGUAGGUGUUAUUUAGAGUUUUGUUAUUAAAGUUUUAAAAAAUACAGGAUAACAGCAUUGUAAAAUAUUACAUUUCAAAAUUACCAUUUUCUAUUUCAGUAUAUAAUGAAAUAUAAUUUAUUCCUGAUGGCAAAUCUACAUUUUCAGCAGCUACUCUUCAGUGUCACAUGAUCAGUAAGAAAACAUUCUAAUAUGCUGAUUUGGUGCUAAAGAAAAAUGUUAUUAUUAACAGUGUUGAAAACAGUUUUUUUUUUUUGCAUAAUAUUUCUGUGGAAACCUUGAUACUAUUUAUUUAUUUAGAUGAAUAAAAAGUUCAAAAGAACAGCAUUAGAAAUAUAAUUAUUUUUUGUAACAAUGUAGAAGUCUUUCUUGUCACUUUAAUUAACUUAAUGCAUUCUUUCUAAAUCAAAGUAUUAAUUUCUUUAAAAAUAAGUAAGUCUUAUUGACCUCAAACUUUUCAACAGUUUUAAAGCAAAUUAUUUUAACCAAACACUUUAAAAAAAAUGUAUUCUUGUUAAAUGUAUUCAUAUAAAUACAGUGCAUUGUGUCCUGUUUUUACUUAUAUUUUUUAAAGUGUAUAGAAAUUCCAAAGUGAAACCACAGCUCAAAAAUGUGAACUCUUUUCUGAGUUUAAAACCUACAAACUGAAUCAAUCUAUUCUUGCUGUUGUCUUUUAAGCAUAUUAUGACUUAUAAAUCAAUAUCUGUCCUAUUGUGAGAGACUUGUAGAAACUUUGAGUCAGUUGCCCUUUUAUACAGUAGUUCUCUCCCUAUGCAAUGUGUUCUGGAAGGGUCAGCAGUUUAAGACUAUAAAUAAACCAAAUCCUUGAAAAUGAGCAGACAAAUGAGAUAUUAAUGAACCUCACAUUAUACUUUAAAAUACUCUCAAAUUUUAGUUCGUCAAACCCUUAACCUUUUUUUUUUUACUUGGUUUUUAAUUUAAGAGGGAGGAAUAAUUCAGUGGGUGAGACCCAUCCCUCCACCCUCCCGGUGAACAGAGGCUCACCUGUCACUGUGGGCAUGCUGAGGGCUUGCAGACAGCCCUGUUCCUGCUGCCUCUUAUUAACACUAGGGAUCUCAAAUCCUCAGUGUGCUGCUCUCCACAUGAUCGCCUGUAAGAAUGGCAGGUUAGACCCUCAUGAACCCCAGAAUCGGUCAUUAUUAGCACCUCUUUUAAGUGAAUAGUUCACCCAAAAUGAAAAUUCUGUCAUUAUUUAUUUAUAAAUAGGCCAAAUAGACUGUUAUUCUAAAAGAGCAUGACUUUCUUUCAUUGAGCAAAGUUUUGAAGAAUAUCCUAGGCAUUUGUUUGAAUAUAAUGCAAGUAAAUGAGGAAUUGGGCUGUCAAGCUCCAGAAUAACAACAAAAGUUUUACCAUUGAAUAAAGGAAGUCAUGUGGGUUUGAAACAGCAUGAGGGUGAGUAAAUAAUGACAUACUUUACAUAGUUAGGCCAUUAUUCCUUCUACACCCGUAUAUCUGAGAUGCAUUAUGGGUAUGCACACCCUGGUCAAGUCUUAAAAAGAAUAUGUUUUCUGCAUAGAUGUUUGUGACACUGAGACAGCUGCUGUA
This is a long non-coding RNA of Cyprinus carpio carpio, 5075 nucleotides long. NCBI's taxonomy places the organism in Eukaryota, Metazoa, Chordata, Actinopteri, Cypriniformes, Cyprinidae. The record is from Ensembl.